Molecule: ribosomal RNA, 267 nt
Filed under: uncultured bacterium
Lineage: Bacteria
Description: partial 16S ribosomal RNA
Rfam family: Bacterial small subunit ribosomal RNA
Source: RNAcentral
CGAUGGCGACCGGCGCACGGGUGCGUAACGCGUAUGCAACCUACCUGUAACAGGGGGAUAACACUGAGAAAUCGGUACUAAUACCGCAUAACACUAUGAGAGGCAUCUCUUGUGGUUGAAAGUUUCGGCGGUUACAGAUGGGCAUGCGUUGUAUUAGCUGGUUGGUAAGGUAACGGCUUACCAAGGCGACGAUACAUAGGGGGACUGAGAGGUUAACCCCCCACAUUGGUACUGAGACACGGACCAAACUCCUACGGGAGGCAGCAG